UUCACAUUGGUUAACAGUUC
Molecule: unclassified non-coding RNA, 20 nt
Filed under: Dictyostelium discoideum
Lineage: Eukaryota; Evosea; Eumycetozoa; Dictyosteliales; Dictyosteliaceae
Source: RNAcentral